CCUCGGGUGGCAGCAGUGGGGAAUAUUUCACAAUGGGGGAAACCCUGAUGCAGCGACGCCGCGUGAGUGAAGAAGUAUUUCGGUACGUAAAGCUCUAUCAGCAGGGAAGAAAAUGUCGGUACCUGACUUAUAAGCCCCGGCUAACUACGUGCCAGCAGCCGCGGUAAUACGUAGGGGGCAAGCGUUAUCCGGAUAUACUGGGUGUAAAGGGAGCGUAGACGGCAGAGCAAGUCUGAAGUGAAAGCCCAUGGCUUAACCAUGGAACUGUAUUGGAAACUGUGCAGCUGGAGUGCAGGAGAGGUAAGCGGAAUUCCUAGUGUAGCGGUGAAAUGCGUAGAUAUUAGGAGGAACACCAGUGGCGAAGGCGGCUUACUGGACUGUAACUGACGUUGAGGCUCGAAAGCGUGGGGAGCAAACAGGAUUAGAUACCCUUGUAGUC
Molecule: ribosomal RNA, 439 nt
Filed under: uncultured bacterium
Lineage: Bacteria
Description: partial 16S ribosomal RNA
Rfam family: Bacterial small subunit ribosomal RNA
Source: RNAcentral